GGACGUGUAGCUCAGUGGUAGAGCGCUUGCCUAGCAUGUGCAAGGCCCUGGGUUCAGUCCCCAGCACCA
RNAcentral lists this transfer RNA (69 nucleotides) under Heterocephalus glaber (naked mole-rat). It matches the Rfam family "tRNA". From Rfam's summary of the family: Transfer RNA (tRNA) molecules are approximately 80 nucleotides in length. Their secondary structure includes four short double-helical elements and three loops (D, anti-codon, and T loops). Lineage: Eukaryota; Metazoa; Chordata; Mammalia; Rodentia; Bathyergidae. The record is from Rfam by way of RNAcentral.